This is a long non-coding RNA of Phragmites australis (common reed), 2864 nucleotides long. RefSeq lists it as uncharacterized. Lineage: Eukaryota; Viridiplantae; Streptophyta; Magnoliopsida; Poales; Poaceae. The record is from RefSeq and is a predicted model, not a curated record. The transcript is spliced from 2 exons.
UCAUCAUCCAUCUCGCAAUUCUCCUUUAAUCUUUGAGUUCUCUGAUCGAUGGACGACAUCUCGAUCACGUACAUCAAGCGCGUUACACGUUCUUGUACUGUGCUAAAUAAAGAGACAUAAGGUAGAAGCUAGUGGCUGAUGGCUUCUGUUCAUCAGAUGUGCUCAAAGUUUGCAGCAAUCUAGCCAAGAAAAAGCACAUCCUCGAUCGCGACGGCUACGAUCGUUACGUGGGCAAAUAUGAUCCUAGCAAGCAACCAGCUGCCUGGUUGCAAGAUUAUCUACCCUUCACCCGAUUUAAAAUUUGGCCGAUGCCCUUUUUUUCAACCUUCCGUUUUUGUUUUUGUUUUGAGACGACGGCUCCGAGUCAUUGGACACUCAUCCAAUGACUUAUAAUCUUUGUGAGUCACAGUGACGUUUUUAAGAGGUGAACGAGGAUAUUUAGGAACUAAAUUAAAUUGGUUUUAAAAAUUUCACAAGAUAAAUAUAUCUUAAUUUCUAUCUAAAUGCAUUUUAGGUUUAUCUAGCGUGUCUACUCUACCCCUCAAGAGGAUUGCAACCUACUCUAGCAAGGUAAAUUGCAAAUAUGUAAAUAUGAAAACGUAAAUAAUAUAAAGAGACAAACUCGGCACAAAGGAUUUUUAUCCCGUGUUAUCGAUGGUAUGAAUAUUACCUCAAAUCCACAUUGGAGCUCUACAAAGGAUAUGCUCCCGGUCAUCAAGUCUCUUUCGAUUACAGUUCUUGAGCUAUCAAGUCACCAAGAUAACGUCUCAAGCACGAUGACCACUAAGACAAGAUCUCACCAUUAGUAUCUCCUUCGAUCACUUAUCGCCGUGAUCACUUCGGAGCUUGAGCCAUCAAUACAAGGGUCUCCGUGUUCCCAUACAUGUGUCUUGAAAUCGCUUCAUAGUAAUUCGAAGGGUCAAUAAGCUUGAGCUACUAAGGCCCAAAAUGCCAACGAGUUAUCAAGACUCUAAGGCACUGACGUAACACUCGGUAUAAACUAGGAUCACUCUUUGAUCCCUUCUUCAAGCUGCAGUACUCAACUACAACUCACUCUAGUCCUAUAAGCACUAAAUACUCUCUAAUCUUGUGCUUACUUACUUUGGAUAAUCACUUUAAGCACUUUGUUGACUUGGAUAUCUUCUCAAGUGUAUAUGAGCUUCCUCUAGACUCUAGCAGUAUGCCACACCUCCAAAUGACUGAGUAGAGGGGUAUUUAUAGUCUCAAACCUACCAACUAGCCAUUUUACCAAUGGCUCGAAAAAUCUGUUAACACCAUAUGAUCCGUUGAGAAUAGUAGUACUAACAUCGGAUCAUCUUAUGAGUACAAACUCAGAAACUAGCUGUUGGAACUCUACUCACGGCCAUUGUGAACACCGGACACUCCAAUGUGCCUUCAAAUCUAUCACCAGAUCUUCCGGUGAGCUAUCUUGAGCCAUCCGAGCCUUUGCAGCCUCUUUAUGUAAAAUGUUCUGGUGUAUUCAUCUGAUGUUCAUUCUAUUCACACAAGACCAUCCGAUGAGUUAAAUAUUCUUUUUUUUCUCCUAGAAAUGCUCCUGUGCAAUUAUCUCUAUGAUCACCGGACUAUCCGGUGAGUUUAUUUUCAUUCUUCAAUACUUGCAGUCGCCUCUACAAGAAAUGCUCAGGUGCCAUACUCCGGUGUGCACAAAUCAAGCACCAGACCUUCCGAUCAUCGGACUAUCCAGUGAGGUCCUCAGCCUUCUCCCUCUUUGUCAGAUAUACUCUGUUGAGUUUAACACACAGAGCACCAGACAUUCUGGUAAAGUCAUCAGCCUUCACUUUACCUCUGGACAUAAUGCUUCGGUUAGUGCAAACUCCUCUACACCGGACCUUUCGAUGAGGCAAAUCUUUCUGGGACUUUUUCAAUUCAAUCAAACUUUGUCUCGGCUACGAUGGCUUCUUGAUGUAUUACAUCCAUAAAAUCUACUAACAUAUAUUCUUAACAAAUAUAUUAGUCCCAAUGACUAUGUUAUCAUUAAUCACUAAAAUUACAAUCAUGACCUAAUAGGACUAUUUUCGCUACAAUCUUUCUCUUUUUGGUGAUUGAUGACAACACAAACAAAACAAGUAACAAAUAAUAAAUAAUACCAAUCAUAAAGAGCAUAAUGUCUUACCGUAUUGUUUGGAUGCAUGUUCUUACUAUUUAGCCCCAUUUGUUGUGGCUUCCCUUUAUCUAUUGUUAUUAUCUUCCUUGAUCGACCCAUGCAAGAGCUUUCCCCUUUUGUCAACUUCAACAUUUCUAGACAUCUUAUAUUGUGCUUCUUGCUUUGCUUAGUAAACUUCUCCCAGUUUGUCAAUAAUUAAAAAAUAAUAAUUACAAACAAAUGUUGAACUUGAGGAAGAGUAUUAUAGCACAUGAGAGAGCUUCAUAAAUCAUGAUCCAAUAAAAUAAUACUAAUUGAAAAGAUAUACCAAUUGUAAGAAUAUGAGAUAUUGAUAUCAAUUGAAAAAGACAAAAAUAGAUCAUAAUUCAUGAAACUCACAUGAUAUAAUUUAAACCCCUUCUUUUUGUGUGCAUACAUAUAACGAGACCUACUUAUGAGUACUAUUUAUAGGAAUAUAACAAUAUAUGCACAUCUAGACAAUAAGUAGAGGUAUGAAGUUUAAGUCAUAUCAUGCAUGAAGUAGCUUAAAUAUAGAAAUGAAUUGACAAUGAUACCAAUUAAAGUAUUUAAGCAUUGUAUACCUUUAGGGAUGUGUUGAUUUCUUCAUGAGACUACAAAAGAUAUGUCUAGCAAUACAUGUUAGUCUCAAAAUCACAAUUUAUAGGGUAUACUCCCUUAAAUGUGUGCAUACAAGUUUUGAAUACCUGCGAAACAUAUGUACUUGUUAUUAAUAACAAUA